Molecule: transfer RNA, 77 nt
Filed under: Camelus ferus (Wild Bactrian camel)
Lineage: Eukaryota; Metazoa; Chordata; Mammalia; Artiodactyla; Camelidae
Rfam family: tRNA
About the family: Transfer RNA (tRNA) molecules are approximately 80 nucleotides in length. Their secondary structure includes four short double-helical elements and three loops (D, anti-codon, and T loops).
Source: Rfam by way of RNAcentral
GAGGGUGUAGCUCAAGCGGUAGAGCGCAUGCUUACUUAGCAUGCUCGAGGUCCUGGGUUCGAUCCCUGGCACUGCCU